AUUGAACGCUGGCGGCAGGCCUAACACAUGCAAGUCGAACGGUAGCACAGAGAGCUUGCUCUCGGGUGACGAGUGGCGGACGGGUGAGUAACGUCUGGGAAGCUGCCCGAUGGAGGGGGAUAACUACUGGAAACGGUAGCUAAUACCGCAUAACGUCGCAAGACCAAAGUGGGGGACCUUCGGGCCUCACACCAUCGGAUGUGCCCAGAUGGGAUUAGCUAGUAGGUGGGGAAAUGGCUCACCUAGGCGACGAUCCCUAGCUGGUCUGAGAGGAUGACCAGCCACACUGGAACUGAGACACGGUCCAGACUCCUACGGGAGGCAGCAGUGGGGAAUAUUGCACAAUGGGCGCAAGCCUGAUGCAGCCAUGCCGCGUGUAUGAAGAAGGCCUUCGGGUUGUAAAGUACUUUCAGCGGGGAGGAAGGCGGUGAAGUUAAUAACUUCACCGAUUGACGUUACCCGCAGAAGAAGCACCGGCUAACUCCGUGCCAGCAGCCGCGGUAA
RNAcentral lists this ribosomal RNA (504 nucleotides) under uncultured bacterium. RNAcentral describes it as "partial 16S ribosomal RNA". It matches the Rfam family "Bacterial small subunit ribosomal RNA", at positions 29 to 523 of the family's 1533-position model. The record is from RNAcentral.